AGGCACGCUCCGAUUCUGGUCUGGUGUAUGGGUUGCAUGCUGACUCUCUGGAUAUCUUGUGUGUUCCCAUUUGACAGUCCACAUUCCUCCGCCGCACACCAUGGCCACAGGACACAGAGCACUGAGAAGACAGAGUAUGCAAUAAAUACUCAUUUUCCCAGUCCACUGGGGAAGAGGGGAAAAAGGCUUAUAUUCCUUAUGUUAGAAGCUAACAGGUAAGCUACUAGAGGCUACAAAUAAAAUUCCAAGUAAAUCUGAAAGAGUAGGCCUGAAUACAUUCUAUCACAGCUACAACAGUGGUGUACUCGAGAAUUUGAGGUAUCACCAGGCCCUGUUACACCUAAAAAGAGGCAAAGAUGGUUAUAAGGACUCAAACUUUGUGCUUGCCACUGGAGUAUUAAUAAAGAAAUCCGAAGACAAUGUGAGAUAUUCACUCCAGGAUUUUUACUUCAGCUGCUCCAAAGGUGAAUGAGAAAGUGUCUGGAUGUGUAAUCAGUGCAGGAGUUAUAGCUAGUGGGACUAGGAACCAAAAGUCCUUGGCAUUCUGAAGGUGGACUGUGACUGAAAGCCCAAGAUGGAGGCUUCCAUUGUCUUCCUCCCUUCUCCUUCUUUCCUAUUCUGCUCCGGCCACACUGAUCUCCUUCUCAUCUAUGGCAUGUCUAGUGUACUGUUGCCUCUGGGCCUUUUUUUAAUUUGCGGGGACGUGUUAAUGUUUUACAGUUAACAGUAAAUACAAUAGUUUGUACAUGCAUAACAUGUCCGAGUUUUCUACAUAACAAUACAACCCCCACUAGGUUCUCUGCCAUCCUAUCCCAGGACCUGAACUCUCUCCCACCCCCAACCCACCCCAGAGUCUUCUACUUUGGUGCAAUACAUUGCCUCUGGGUUUUAACCUGUCAUUCUGUCCCCCUGGAUACCACAUUACUUAUUUUUGUGUUUUCCUCUAUCUUUACUCAAAGACCACUUUUGUAGAGACUUGCCAGGCUGUCUUAAAAGUCCAAUUCCAGGGGGUCGAGCGAUGGAGCAGUGGGUUAAGUGCAUGUGGCGCAAAGUGCAAGGACCGGCGUAAGGAUCCUGGUUCGAGCCCCUGGCUCCCUACAUGCAGGGGAGUCGCUUCACAGACGGUGAAGCAGGUCUGCAGGUGUCUAUCUUUCUCUCCCCCUCUGUCUUCCCCUCCUCUCUCCAUUUCUCUCUGUCCUAUCCAACAAAGAACAACAUCAACAAUGGCAAUAAUAAUAACCACAACGAGGCUACAACAAGGGCAACAAAAGGGGGAAAAAUGGCCUCCAAGAGCGGUGGAUUCAUGGUGCAGGCACCGAGCCCAGCAAUAACCCUGGAGGAAAAAAGAAAAAAAAAAGUCCAAUUCCCAUUUACUUUUCUAUGCUAUCUACUACUAUCUAUCCUUUUAUUUAUGAUUUUCCACAGCAUUUAUCACAUUCUUUCACAGUAAUAUAGUUGACUCCUUUUGUUCUGUUUUGCUUAUUAAUUACAGAUUAUCUCCUCUUGCACACUAGAAUAUAAGCCUGAUGAGUUUCAGGAUUUUUGUCUGUUUUGUUCACUGCAAUAUGCCAAAUAAUUUGAGCACUGUCUGGUUUAUAGACAACACCUAAGUACUUGUGGAAUACACAGUUGAAUCCAAGAAUGAGUGAAUGAUACUACUGAAUAGGACCUAGAGCUACUUACCACAUAAGAUUUCUAAGGAUUAAGCAAGCAUUUUGCACAAUGUUAAGAUCAUUGUAAGGACCAAAUAAAAAACAACUGCCUUUUCCUAUCUCCUGUGUCCAUCCAGUCCCAAACUAGCUAAGUACUUCUGUGGUUUAACAUUUAGCUCAUUGUUAAAGAACUAAAUACUGCACGGAGAAAGUAUACCUGAGAAUGUGAUAGAUUAUAGGUGGCAAGUGGUAGAAGCUGGAAAAUUUUAAUACUAGACCACCUUGCAUAGUACUAUGAACAUUUUAGCUCUAAGUCAGAGAGCCUACCACAUACUCUAAAAUUCACAUAAUUUUGUCUGCCUAAAUAUGUUACUUUAAGAAGAUACUUUUACCUGAUGUGGGGGAGGGGUGUGGCUAUACAGAGUAAAAACAGUACAAAGGAAUGUAGUGGACAAGGAUGGGUUCUAUUUAAGUCAAAUACUAUAUAUAUAUUCUAACUGAAAAAAAUUAAGAAUACAAGACUGAAAACUCACACUUUUAUUAAAAACCAGUACAUCUAGGUUUGAACUUGACUUUUUUAAAAGCUCUCUUUCAUUUAAAAUAGAUUACCAAAAUGUAGGAUUUCCAAGACUACAAAAUUAACAUGAAGUGUGAGAUUUUGAAAUCAAUAGAAUCAAACCACCACCAUCAUCUUGAAAAUUAACUUCAGGCUAGCUACCAUCAACUUUCUCUAUGAAGUGGGUGGUUUUUAUCCAAGUAUUAGGUACAGGUCAUGUCCAUAAAGACCUAGUUUGAUUAGUCCAACAGACUUUUUUCUUAUAGAUGUACUAAUUCACAUGAUUCUAGGUUGCCGAAUGUAAUCCAGUGGACAUCAGGCCUUUUCAGAGAUCUGGACUGAGAACACUGAGUGGGCCAUGCCCAAUUUUUGAAUUCUUAAAAAAAAAUUCAAAGCCAAAUGAAGUGCUAAAAUGGAUCUAUACAAAAAAUGAGAGAAUAUUCAGCUCUCUCAUUUUUCAUAAGUAAAACAAAACAAAACCUGUAACCUGGCUAAAAACCUCUGGAAAAAACAUUUAGAUCCUAAGGGCUCAAUUUUACUAGCUUUUUAAAAAGCUGAGAAAAGCAAAAUUGAUCUCAACUAGGACAAAAAGAUAUUUCUUUCAUGUGCCACGAAUCAAAAUCAGCAUUACUUGAUGUUUUGAAAGCCCUAUCAGUAAGGAAAUAGAAAAGCACUGGGCUUGGGGAUUGGUGAGGUCUGGGUCUAAGAAUUGUAUGAGAUUUGGAAGUUUACAUAGCCUCCUUGGGACUCACUUCUCCUAGCUGCAUAGUGAAUUUAAUAGAGUCUGCUUUACAAGGACUAUAUGACAAUUAGUAAUAAUAUAUUAAAAACAUCAGAUCCAAGGCUUGGCUCAGAGCAAAUGCUCAGUAAAUGGGAACCCUUGUUAUUCUUUCUCUACUUCCAGUCAAAUCUUUCUAAGUGCAGAUGUGUGUGCCAUAACAAGGCAUAACAAGACAUAAUAAAGCCUGUAAGACAGCUGGUCAUUAAUUGAGUAACUGUGAUCUGAAGACAGA
This is a long non-coding RNA of Erinaceus europaeus (western European hedgehog), 3221 nucleotides long. RefSeq lists it as uncharacterized. Lineage: Eukaryota; Metazoa; Chordata; Mammalia; Eulipotyphla; Erinaceidae. The record is from RefSeq and is a predicted model, not a curated record. The transcript is spliced from 4 exons.